CUAAACUUAUCAAACAUGCAUCAAACCUAUUCCACAACACACAAACACAAGCAUACAUGUUCCUAGGGGUCUCAAACCAUCAUAAACCCCAUCUACAACACAUCAAGCAACUCACAUUGUUCAAGAACACACAUUUAUACCCAUAAACAUAACCAUAACCUAAACAUGCAUUCUAACCCAUAGAUCUUGCAUAAAACUUAUUUAAAACAUAAAACGAGCUUAAGAUCGGCUCUUACCUCUUGAAGAUCGAGAGAGACGACCAAAAACUCGGAGUUGGGAGAGAUUUGGUUCUUGAACCUCCAAGCUCCAAAACUUUGCUCAAAAGCUUAAAUCUUCAAAACCAAGUUAAAACAAG
This 355-nucleotide long non-coding RNA is filed under the name Manihot esculenta (cassava). RNAcentral's name for it is "long non-coding RNA (MESC_LNC004558)". The record is from RNAcentral. Lineage: Eukaryota; Viridiplantae; Streptophyta; Magnoliopsida; Malpighiales; Euphorbiaceae.